AUGGCGAAGAGCGGCACGGAGGAGUGGCGUCGCAACGCCGACACGCACAAGAUGAGCCCGGAGGAGGUCCGGGCCGCGGGGGUGGAGGCGUCCAUGCGCCCGCCGGGCCGUGGCGGCGGCGCCGGGGAGGUCCUGCACCAGCGAGGCGGCCGCCUGCCGUACGGGCCCGGGACGAUGGCGCUGAUGGGGUUCGGCAUCGUCGGCGCCAUCGGCUACCUGGUGCUGUACCAGAAGGCGAGGCCCGGCACGCCGGCCACGGAGGUCGCCAAGGUGGCCGUCGGACACGGCGACCCUGCCGUCGGCCGCGAGGUCCAGAAGCGCCAAGACGAAGCGCAGCCGCCGCCACCGCCACGCGAAGGGAAGUAG
RNAcentral lists this ribosomal RNA (366 nucleotides) under Triticum aestivum (bread wheat). RNAcentral's name for it is "partial small subunit ribosomal RNA". The record is from RNAcentral. Lineage: Eukaryota; Viridiplantae; Streptophyta; Magnoliopsida; Poales; Poaceae.